CCUACGGGGGGCAGCAGUAGGGAAUGUUCGUCAAUGGGCGCAAGCCUGAACGAGCAAUGCCGCGUGAACGAGGAAGGUCUUCGGAACGUAAAGGUCUGUUGAAGGGGAAAAAGAGCGGAGAGAGGAAAUGCUUUCUGAUGGAUAUUACCCGUCGAGGAAGGCACGGCUAACUACGUGCCAGCAGCCGCGGUAAUACGUAGGUGGCGAGCGUGAGCCGGAAUGAUUGGGCGUAAAGGGUGCGUAGGCGGCCUGCUAAGUCUGGCGUGAAAGGGACCGGCUCAACCGGUACAGGCUCUUGAAACUGGCGGGCUAGAGAGCAGGAUAGGGCGGUGGAACUCCAUGUGUAGCGGUCAAAUGCGUUGCUCUCUGG
Molecule: ribosomal RNA, 370 nt
Filed under: uncultured bacterium
Lineage: Bacteria
Description: partial 16S ribosomal RNA
Rfam family: Bacterial small subunit ribosomal RNA
Source: RNAcentral